Non-coding RNA from Callorhinus ursinus (northern fur seal), 99 nucleotides. NCBI's taxonomy places the organism in Eukaryota, Metazoa, Chordata, Mammalia, Carnivora, Otariidae. The record is from RefSeq and is a predicted model, not a curated record.
GUGUGUAUGUGUUAAGUAUUUAAUAUCUGAUACAUCCUCUAUCAGAGGACAAUAUAUUAAAUGGAUUUUUGGAAUUAGGAGAUGGAAUAGGAGCUUGCU